AGAGGUCACGCCUGCCCAGUGACUUUAAUGUUUAACGGCCGCGGUAUUUUGACCGUGCAAAGGUAGCGCAAUCACUUGUCUUUUAAAUGGAGACCUGUAUGAAUGGCAUCACGAGGGCUUAACUGUCUCCUCUCUUCAACCAAUGAAAUUGAUCUCCCCGUGCAGAAGCGGGGAUAAAAACAUAAGACGAGAAGACCCUAUGGAGCUUUAGACACCAAGACAGCUUAUGUUAAGCAUUCCUCAACAAAGGGCCAAACUAGAUAAACCCUGUCCUAAUGUCUUUGGUUGGGGCGACCUUGGGGAAAUAAACAACCCCCACGUGGAAUGGAAACAUGUUUCCAAAACCAAGAGCCACCGCUCUAAGAAGCAGAACUUCUGACCAGUCAGAUCCGGCAAAGCCGAUCAACGGACCGAGUUACCCUAGGGAUAACAGCGCAAUCUCCUUUUAGAGUCCCUAUCGACAAGGGGGUUUACGACCUCGAUGUUGGAUCAGGACAUCCUAAUGGUGCAGCCGCUAUUAAGGGUUCGUUUGU
Molecule: ribosomal RNA, 533 nt
Filed under: Anampses lineatus (lined wrasse)
Lineage: Eukaryota; Metazoa; Chordata; Actinopteri; Labriformes; Labridae
Description: partial large subunit ribosomal RNA
Rfam family: Bacterial large subunit ribosomal RNA
Source: RNAcentral